GACUCCCCGGCCCCAUUCCUGACCGUCAGAUUACGAUCGGGAGGCUCAAGCGCACCAACUGGCGGCGCCGCCCCGCCGCCGGAGAGCUCUCCGGCGUCGGUGCCUCACCGUCUCCCGUUAUUCCGGCGCCUUCCGUUCCUCGACAGAAGCGGGGCUAUGGUCGCCAGUCGUCACGCGCUCGCCGCACGAGCAGGAGCAGGAGCAGGGACUGCUGGCCGGUUAGCCUCCAGAUGGGUAGCUGUUCUGCGCAACAACUGGAGGAGCGCGGAGGGAGAAGGGACUAAACACGAGGGGGGAGGUGGAGGAGGCGGUACGACUGGUGAGCGGGUGAGUGCAAUUUCUGCGUAUAUUUCCCAUUCGUCUCCCGGAAAAUAAUAGCUUCAAAUACUUCGGUUCCCUAGUUUCCAUGGUACGCCGUUUCUCUAUUGGCGCGAUAGCUGGAUAGGGUCAGAGUCCUCGUUUUCUUUGUGAUUGUGAUGUCAAAUGUUGAUGCAACCAUAAUCUCAUAAUUAAUACCUUUCUCGCUCUUAAAUAAACAUCGUUAGUUAGUAUUAUGAGAUGUGAUUGGGGCGAUCGCUUUGUUCCUCGCUGCAUAACUUAUUUUUUGGGAGUUUUGCUUAUGCAGCUACUUUGAAGUAAUUCAAAUGAUUCAAUACUCCAGCUUACACUCAAUCCAGCUCUAGCCUUGCUGUCAAACACUCAAACUUCUCUGACUUUGACAAGUUUAUAGAAAAAAACAUAAAUAUCUACAUCAUCAAAUUAGUUCCACCCACCAUGAAAUAUAUCUCGAUAGUGCAUUUAUUUGGUAUUGUAGAUGUUAAUAUUUUUUCAUCGACCUGGUUAAAACUAGAGAAGGUUGACUUAGGAGUAAGACAUCUUACAUUGUAGAACGGAGGUGUACCAUGUUGCUGACUUAAAUAGUUCUACUGUUCUUCAUAUACACUAAUGUAUACCAGUUAGUUUAGUCAAUUUGAUUUUCAGACUAGCAUAAGCAUAAUUCAGACCUUCAGUAUGCUUCAUGCAAGGGCAGCAAAGCAUAAUUACCAGUCUGCUUUCUUUUGCUUACAUCGUUGAUAAAAUAGCAAAGUUAGAACUUCAAGGCUUUACUCACCAAUCAUUCCGCCAGGAAGGGUAACAAUUGCUAAGGUUCACAUAUAUGGAAUUAACUGCAAACAGGAACAUGUAAAGUAGAUACUGUUAGUGAAACAACACUAAAAUCAAACAGCAGAAUCAAAUGGUAUUUAACAGGGUAGCUUGAAAAUAAAUCAGAUCUGAGGUAACCUUAGAGAGUUCAUGGACAGUGGCCUCGUUAUUGCCCAUGUUGUUCCCGGCCACAUCAAGAGAUUUCCCUACUAUGUAGUACGACAUUGAAGACCCCAUGUCAUGUAUGGACCCCAUGGUUCCUGAUAUCAUGAGCAGCCAAUCUAUUGCAUCCACCGUAGCAAACAGACCAAAGAAUGCAAACGAUCUGUCUUCGGCUUCUGUUUCUGGUGCCAUGGAUGCUGCUCGCGUGCUUUCCUUGCCAUCUGCAAUCUUAGGUUCAGAUGAUUCAGUGGGCCUAUCAUUUUGGAUGAGUGGCACUGCUUUCCUGGAUCUUCUGUUAAUGUGCAAAAAGUGAGUAGCUGGCACACUGAGCUUUAUAGCACUAGUACACACAGUAACAACCACAUAGCUACAAAUUUGCACCAAUGAUACUAUCAAGAUUCAUAAUGUUAUCUAUUGUUCAAUCCUAGUGACUCCCAUUUUUGUUCAUGACUCCUUUGCUGACAUGAUGCAGCAUGUCCAACCUGCGUAUUCAGACAUGAAAGUAAACUUUCUUGAUGAUGUCUCCAACUUCAAUUUUGCAGUAAAAGUCACAAUUUUAGGAAAUACUAAGCAUGAAUCUUUUGUCCUCAUAACCAAAUUGUAGUGCAUGAGACAUCUCUGUUUUCAUCUACAAGUUACAUUACUCUACUCCAGCUACAAGUCUAAUCCAGAAUAGGCCAUGCCACUUUUCUAUUGGAAUCCGUCCUUAGUCUACAUAUUCCUCGGUCAUUCCAAAUUCCAAAUAAAUACGCCGGCUAUCUUACUCGUACAGUCGUACAUAUACUUGAUGUCUUGGUAAACAUGUUUGAUAUUUCUGCUACAUAAAAAAAAAGAAAUUACGUCAACAAGACUGCAAGAGCAAGGUGUCCAGUAAUAAACAAGGCAGUUUCUGUUGCAAGUCUUCAUGUUAGUGCCUGGAACUUUCACAAUAGUCAUCCAACGGCCUAAUUCUCUGAUUCCAGUUCUGAUUUGGCUGAAUAGUCUGAUCAUUAUGUGAACUUGAUGUAUCUUAUAGAUUUAUAAUUAAUCAGUUCAUUAGAAAUAAGUGUCUCAGCUUUGCUAUUUGCUGUCCCAUGUACCGAAUUUAGGUGGUUCUAUUUUCGAUAUGCAUUAUUUUAGGUAGCUUAAUUGUUAAGGACAUUUUCUUUUUUUCUAUGUUAUAUUUAUUGCCUAUUUCUUUAGAAAUAGAUAUUCAGCUAGUUUCUUGGAGAGAACUUUGUUCAAGUUGUCCUCAACCUUGAAAGACGGUUAAACUGGUUGAUGGACUGCAUGAUCGGAAACCAGCAUAUUACUGAAUCCCUUUCCUGUCUUAAGUUCUGUUACUCUAUCUUCCAUCUGUUACUCUAUCUUCCAAACAGAUACCAUUCAAGUAAUAUAUAGUUAUUUUUUUACCCUAACUGGUGGACUAUGCAUCAUCGAUAUAUGAUGAUAUAGCUAUGUUAUUACAACUUGUGACAGCAAGUGCAUUUGAGCAAUGCUUAAUCUCCUAAAGCUAUUCUUGCUAAGUGUCUUUGGUCUUUGGCCAUAAUGGAACUUGAAUAGAUGGUCAUUCUUUCAUGUUGCUUUGCAAGUGGAACAAUCUUGAGUAAACGCCAUCUUCAGCAGAGAUCAACUCUUGGUGAUUACCAAGUUCAACAACCUUUCCUUUCUCCAUCACAACUAUCGUAUCAGCAUUUAUGACUGUGGACAGUCUAUGUGCAACUGUGAUACUUGUAAUCGUACUGGCUUGCUCAUCUUUGUCCUUCCACACCUUGGUCCCUAAAGAGCUCAUAACCACCCUCUCAGAUUCACCAUCAAGUGCGCUGGUUGCCUCAUCAAGAAGCAGAAUGGCAGGCCUCUUCAGUAUUGUUCUUGCAAUAGCAAUUCUCUGUUUCUGCCCUCCUGAAAGCUGGCUCCCUUUGUCUCCAACAACAGUGCCAUACCCUUCUGGUAGACCACUGAUGAAUUCGUGAAUGUUUGCCUCCAUUGCAGCCUGGAUGAUUUCAGUCUCUGAAGGGCUUUCACUUCCAUAGCUAAUGUUAUCUCUGAUGGAUGUGUUGAACAGGAUUGGUUCUUGUUGAACUAGCCCAAUCUGCUUCCUGAGCCAUCGGAGAUUGUAGUCCUUUAUGUUCUUGUUGUCAAUUAACAAUCUACCUCUAGCAGGAUCGUAGAAUCUCAGUAUUAAAGCCAGUACAGAGGAUUUUCCUGCACCACUGGGGCCAACCAAUGCUACUCUUUGGCCAGGUUCUAUAAUUAGAUUGAAGCCAUCCAGAAUGGUCACCUCUGGUCUAGAUGGAUAAUUGAAGCUCACAUCCUGAAACUCGGUUCUACCGACGAGCCACCCUUUGCCUGGGUUUUCUGGUUUAUCCGGGACGAUUUGUGUCUCUCUGUCAAGUGUGUCAAAUACAGGAUUCAGUAUUGAAAUGGCUGACAUGACCAUAGGAAUGAGGGUCCAUAAUUCUGUGAUGGAAGGUACUGUGAGUGAGAAUAUCUGGUAUGAUCUUAUGCUGUUCUCAAAUUUGGCUUGCUUCCUCUGAACCAAAACUGUGGUGUACCAUAGGGCCACUGCAUGUGCAAUAUUCCAGAGGCAGAGCGAGAUCCCUUGGAUGACCCCAUACUUCAUGCUCUCAAUCUUGGUGAUCCUCAAGGGUUCUUGCAGUGACAAUUCUGCUUUCUUGAUUAUUUCAUCUUCAUAAACAAAGGAUGCCACAGUCCGGAUGUUGCUAGCAGCUUCUGAAGCUAGGGAGACAAGUUCCCGGUGAGCAAUAGCAGAGUCACCAUAAAAUCCUUUUGCUGACUUGGCUUGAAUAAGGCCACCAAUGAAAUGGCAUGGCAUGACUGCCCAUGAAACUAAAGCCAUUCUCCAAUUGACCUUCAUGCUUACUAUUGUUGCUAUCAGAAUUGAAGCGAUGCAUUGCACAAUAACUGCCAUUCUGUCUGAUAUGAUGGUCUUGACUGUUGACGUGUCACUGACAAUGCGUGAGGUAAGAAAUCCUACGCCAUUAUUUGGUUUCUCAAACCAACCAAGCUCAUUUCGGAGAACAGCUGCGUUGCAUUGAAACAAAAUAAUUUCAUAUUAUCAGGGGUAUGAGGUAUGUAUAUAAUGUUGUCUCUUGUGAGAAUUUGUGGUGAACACUUAAACAAAUUCAAGGUUUCAUGUGACAUACCUGAAAAGAGUGCCUCCCUUAUGUUUUUCAUUGCCCUUUCUCCAAUGAUACCAUAAAUAUAGUGCUGCAAGAUGUUACUCACCAUUGUAACCAUCCCUGCUGUGAAGAAUAUCAAAGAAUACUUGGUGACUUCCUUUUUUGCAUUCGGGUCAUAAUAUGCCACGCCAAUUGUCAUGAUGAAAUAACCAAACAAAGGCUUCGAGAUUCCAGAGAUGGCUGCUGCUGAGGAGCCAACUAGAAUCUUCAUAAUGUCCUCUUUACGCAAUCCAUACCAAAGUCUGAAGAAAGGGGGUGUUUCCUUUACAUUCUCAUUUCUUGGUUGUUUUGACUCCAGUCUUUCUAGCUUUUUGUUUGGUCCCUGAUUUGUGGAGGACUGCUUGAUGUGUGCUUCGCCAAUUUGUUCCUCCAUGUUAUCAGGAGUGCUGUUUAAUCAGUGGAACUAAAAACAUUAAUGAGUUGUUUGGUUUGAUGAAUCACUCUAUCCAAAAUGAAGUGGUGCAUCAUGGGUCCAUUCCUCAAAUUUGGUGGGAUGAUUUCAUUCCACAUAUUAGUACUAAACAACUAACUAUGAUGAAUGAGGUGGUGAUGGAUUAACUCACUCCAUUCCACAAACCAAACAAAAAAGUGAGGAGUGAGAAAAUGAUGGACUACAUCAUUCCUCAAACCAAACAAUCCAUAAGUUCUACUUAGUAAUCGUACUUAUAUGUACUAUUAUCACUAAACUUCCUAUUGAGGAGUUGAUGUGUUUUCAUUUUUUUGGCAGUUUCCUGUUCUGUUCAUCAUUUGUAAAUAGUAACUCUUGCUUUUAUUUCAAACUGCUGGCGUCCAGUUUGAAAAAACUUUAUUCAUUGAUAUUCUAAGGUACACCCCAACCCAUGCAUGACACAUUUACUUUUGAAGCGAUAAGUCAUAUUGAAGAAUUUCUUAACUGAGUAUAAAACAUUGGUCAAGUAAAACUUUCCAUUGGCUACAUUUAACUUUACCUUGCCACUUUAUUUUCAGCUUCCUUGUCUAUAUUUUGCAUGCUGCAUACAUUGGAGUAGAAUGUGCUUUUGUCAAGCAACUCAUGAUGUGUCCCAGUGUGUGCUACUCUUCCAUUUUCGACGACAACUAUAGUGUCAGCAUUUACAAUUGUGGACAUCCUGUGGGCUAUCAAGAUAACAGUCCUUCCACGCAUUGCUCUCUCAAGUGCAUCUUGAACUAGCUUCUCUGAUUCUGAAUCAAGGGCACUUGUUGCUUCGUCCAGAAGUAGGAUUGGUGGAUCCUUCAACAUUGCCCUUGCAAUAGCUAUUCUUUGUUUCUGGCCACCCGAUAACUGCACACCCCUUUCUCCUACCUGAAACAAUUUAAUUGUAGGAAGUCCCAGUGGGGAUCAUUUUUAAAUCUUUGAAUGUCUAAUAAUGUGGAAAAAUCCAUGAUUCUCCUAUGGGAAUAAAUUGCGACUAUCUGUAAUUUUAAAGUUCUAUUAUUAAUGCAUUACUCAGUCGACUUUGGUCCUUGAGAGAUCUUGUUGGAAUUUAACAAAUCAUGAGUCAAAAGUCAAAACCCUGAUCCAUAUUUGGUUAAAUAAGAUGAUCGACGACCCCAAGUAUUUAUAAGUUUCCAUGGGAAGUGGUGAAGUACUGAAGUACCUCGGUCAAGUACUCAUUUGGUAGUUUGGAUAUGAAUGAAUGAACAUUAGCUGUUCUUGCUGCUUCAGUUAUCUCCUUGUCACUUGCAUCCAUUUUACCAAUCUUCAAGUUGUCCUUUAUGUUACCAGAAAAUAGUGAUGGUUCCUGAGAGACUGA
Molecule: long non-coding RNA, 6238 nt
Filed under: Zea mays
Lineage: Eukaryota; Viridiplantae; Streptophyta; Magnoliopsida; Poales; Poaceae
Description: long non-coding RNA (ZMAY_LNC000421)
Source: RNAcentral